This is a long non-coding RNA of Zalophus californianus (California sea lion), 442 nucleotides long. RefSeq lists it as uncharacterized. The record is from RefSeq and is a predicted model, not a curated record. NCBI's taxonomy places the organism in Eukaryota, Metazoa, Chordata, Mammalia, Carnivora, Otariidae. The transcript is spliced from 4 exons.
GGCGCGCGGGGAUUGGAACCUGUGGCCGGGGCUUCGCGCGUCCUCCCGCCGGGUGCCGGGCGCGGGAGAUCCCGGCUUGGAAACGGAGCACGCCCUGGAGGCCCGCGGAAGGGGAAGCGAGCGUGCGGGGCCCCGUUUGGGCCCGCGAACCGUCGCCCUGGGUCUUCACAUUCCCCACGGGAACGGGUCUGCAGAUGCGGACGGAAUUGAUUUUCCAGAGAAUGCAAUUUCAACGGAGACACCUCAAAGACACAAAGUCCCCUAGGUGUGUUCUGUGCAACUAGUGCGCUCUAUUGACCCGUGACAGAGUUGCCAGAAUGGCUGGAAGUGCCAUACAUGGACAAGAUGUCUGGGCCUUCGAACUUUUCCUGAUUGUUUCCUCAACAGAGAGAGACACAGCGAGCGAGCGAGAGAGAGAGAGAGAGAGCACAAGCAGGGGGAG